AUUGAACGCUGGCGGCAGGCCUAACACAUGCAAGUCGAACGAGUGGCGGACGGGUGAGUAAUGUCUGGGAAACUGCAUGAUGGAGGAGGAUACUACCUGGAAACGGUACCUACUACCUCUUACCAUCGGUGAGCCCCAAUUGGGAUUAGCUAGUUGGUGGGGUAACGGCUCACCAAGGAGACGAUCCCUAGCUGGUCUGAGAGGAUGACCAGCCACACUGGAACUGAGACACGGUCCAGACGCCUACGGGAGGCAGCAGUGGGGAAUAUUGCACAAUGGGCGCAAGCCUGAUGCAGCCAUGCCGCGUGUAUGAAGAAGGCCUUCGGGUUGUAAAGUACUUUCAGCGGGGAGGCGUUACCCGCAGAAGAAGCACCGGCUAACUCCGUGCCAGCAGCCGCGGUAAUUC
This 406-nucleotide ribosomal RNA is filed under the name uncultured bacterium. RNAcentral's name for it is "partial 16S ribosomal RNA". It matches the Rfam family "Bacterial small subunit ribosomal RNA", at positions 30 to 526 of the family's 1533-position model. The record is from RNAcentral.